This 258-nucleotide ribosomal RNA is filed under the name uncultured bacterium. Its description in RNAcentral is "partial 16S ribosomal RNA". It matches the Rfam family "Bacterial small subunit ribosomal RNA", at positions 524 to 776 of the family's 1533-position model. The record is from RNAcentral.
UACGUAGGGUGCGAGCGUUGUCCGGAAUUAUUGGGCGUAAAGAGCUCGUAGGCGGUGUGUCGCGUCGGCCGUGAAAACCUGCAGCUUAACUGUGGGCGUGCGGUCGAUACGGGCAUCACUGGAGUUCGGCAGGGGAGACUGGAAUUCCUGGUGAUGAGCGGUGAAAUGCGCAGAUAUCAGGAGGAACACCGAUGGCGAAGGCAGGUCUCUGGGCAGUAACUGACGCUGGAGGAAGCGAAAGCGUGGGGAGCAAACAGG